AUCUAUAGAAGAUUCAAACUCUAUCACCAGUGGGCCAGAUCUUCAGCAGCAUUUCAGUGGUAGCUCCUUCACUCGCUAUCAGUCUUCGGCGGCAUUUCAGUGAUGGGUCCUUCAGUGCCACAGAAGACCAGGAGCAAGUGAACAGCCCGCCACCAAAGUGCCACCAAACACCCAGACCACCGCCGGCUAUUCAAAUUGAGCCCCACACUUCCUAAAGCUGGCCCUGCUUGCCACCCACAGCACUGCACCAUCAGCAGGGCAAGCUGAGGCUGCACAGCAGUAGGGACAACAGGGGAUGGCCAGAGGCUAGUUUCCCAAGCCAGGAGCUCAGGGGCUGGGCAGGAGGGAUCCACGGGCCAGAUGUGGCCAGCGGGCCAUAGUUUGUCCAUCUCUGUCUUAAGGCAAUGCCACCACCCUCAGCAGCAUCACAGACAUAAGGGUCGCAUAGCAUAUUGCCACCCUUGCACCUCCACUGCUGCUGCAGCUUGUGCUGCCUGGCACUCAUCAUAUAGCUCAAGGCCAACUUCAUGCUGUCAAACAGGGGGCUGGAACUUGCCAUAGCCCUCUGGCCGCUCAUGGCUCACCAGAGGCAACAUUUCAUAUUGAGGCGGUGAGGCAAUUUUAAUGGUGAUUCCAGGGGCUAGUUGAGCACCUGAAAACUCCAGGUUUCUUCCACAUAAUAACUUAAAUAAAUAAUGUGGCUUUAAUUGGACUUUGUAUCUGUUUCAAUUAAAGAAUAAGGAUUUAGCUGGCAGGAGUAUUGUAUCUAUGUAAGUUUACUCCAAUCAGGAGAUAAUACAGCAAGACACUCCCACUUCCAAGCAUCAGGGUGUCAGUUCUGGAGCUUUAACAAUGAUAUCAGAAACACAAGUUUCAUAUUUUGUACACUAGCUUUAAUACAGAUAUAUACAAAUUGAAAAAAUAAACAAACUCUGCUUAAAAUCCGCUUAACACACACUCUGCAUUUACUGCCAUUAUCUAGUCAAAAUUAAAUAAAUACUCUUUAAUAUUUUUUUUAGUGAA
Long non-coding RNA from Mauremys reevesii (Reeves's turtle), 1023 nucleotides. RefSeq lists it as uncharacterized. The record is from RefSeq and is a predicted model, not a curated record. The transcript is spliced from 2 exons. NCBI's taxonomy places the organism in Eukaryota, Metazoa, Chordata, Testudines, Geoemydidae.